Non-coding RNA from Macaca mulatta (Rhesus monkey), 914 nucleotides. The record is from RefSeq and is a predicted model, not a curated record. Lineage: Eukaryota; Metazoa; Chordata; Mammalia; Primates; Cercopithecidae.
UUCUUCCCUCCCAGGCCAUUCGCGCCAUUAACCCCUGCAGCGAUACCGCCAUGACUGCAGAGGAGUUCACCGAUACAGUGUUCUCCAAGAUUGACGUCAACGGGGAUGGGGAACUCUCCCUGGAAGAGUUUAUAGAGGGCGUCCAGAAGGACCAGAUGCUUCUGGACACACUGACACGAAGCUUGGACCUUACCCGCAUUGUGCGCAGGCUCCAGAAUGGCGAGCAAGAUGAGGAGGGGGCUGACAAGGAGGCCGCUGAGGCAGCCGGCUGAGCACACCGCCCAGCUGCUUCUGCACUAGCGGGUGGGGUGGUAUGGUGGUGACUGGUGGUGUUGCUCUUGUCUUAACCCUAGAUAGAAUCUACUAAACUCAGAGGCUUAGCUCGCCUCUUUGGGGUACAUGGUGGCAGCAGAGAGGCAGCAGUGGGAGGCCAGAGCCAGGAACAGUGAAGGAUGGUUCCUGGCCCCUCUGAGUGACAGCUGACUGCAGCACUCCCUGCUGGGGGCACUGUUCAGCAUCCCUCUGCUGUCUGGUGACCCCCUAGCCCUUCUGGCUCCUCUCCCAGUUUUUCCCAGCUUUCUCCACUGAGCUUCUCCAUGCUCUUCUGGAUGUGGACUCUCUGAGGCAGAGCUGAACUUUCCCAGGCCUCUUACGGAAUCCUGCAGAUCCGGUGGCUGCAGCUUCAAUCUCAGUGCUGCAAUCACACAUCCAUUCUGCCCCGGGGACCCUGGAGCCUACUUGUGUGCUUUGCAUUUGAUUCACGCCUCCCUUCAACAAGCAUUUACUGAGCGCCUACUAUGUACUAAUGCUAGAUGUUAGAUGUACAGAGAAGACAGUUUUCAUCCUCAAGGAACUCAUAGGCUAAUGGUGAGACCUACAGACAAACAUCAUUAUAAUAAAACAUGCUAAGAGAA